Molecule: long non-coding RNA, 3112 nt
Organism: Equus caballus (horse)
Lineage: Eukaryota; Metazoa; Chordata; Mammalia; Perissodactyla; Equidae
Source: Ensembl
AUAGGUGAUCUUUCAGCUUGUUAUUGUACCCACGAACAGUGGUUUGCUCUAGAUUUAAUCUUUUUAGCUUGUAGACAAGACUGUCAGGAGGCAAGUAAGUGGUGGCGGUCAGGGAAAAUCUAAAACCUUAUUAAAAUCAGUCAGGGUAUGCCUAUUACUUCUCCUUGGUCUAAAUGCAGCUCACCUCUCAUAUAGCACGAAUGCAAUAUUUUAUAACAUGACUCACCACUCAGAGAACCAUGGCCCUCACAUCUAAUGCUUUGUGUUUAUUUACAUCAUUGAAGUGGAUCAUUGGAUCAUUUUUAAUAAUUCGGGAGCUUUUUUCUAUGACUUUUUAGGUUGCAGCAGUCCAGAAAACUAUUUUAAGAAUGUUCUUAUAGAUUACUGCAAAGACUAAGAAGUUUACAAAAUAGUGGAUGAAUUUGUGGUUGAAAGCCUUAAGUGAUAAAUGAUAACCACAAAAUCCCACAUGUGAAGAAAUACUCUGUUCUUUUUGGAAAAGGAAAGGCACUAGGGAAGAUUAGAUCUAAAGUUUUCCCAAAGGCUUACGCCCUGAAAAUUGGAAAAAGACCAAACUCUGGAAACUGUUAAGAUUUUUUUUUAAGGGAUUAGGCCUGAAAGCAGGCUGAGGGAUAACUACUCUAAACUGAGAGAUGGAUUGUGCCCAAUUGAUAUCAGAUGUCCGAAGUUAAACACCAAGUAAUCUUUCCAUUUUACUUUUCAUGAUAGUGACAGGCAAAUCAGAAUCUAUUUUUGAUGCUCUUUCAUGGCAGACACUGGAGAAUCUGUCCUGCCUUUGUACGUUUGGUGUUUAUGACAGGUCAUAUUUUCUUUGAAAGCCAUAGGGAUUGAAUGCAUACUAACUCAGGAAGUGGCAUAAAUGACCCAAUAGAGACGUUACCAGUCCCCAAAUGGUAUCUAUAGCUUUGAAAAUCUACCAAAAGAAGUAAAAUAAUAACAAUAAUCACCAUCAUCAUCUUUCACUGUAGCUGCAUUUUCACUUGAAAAUGUGUUAUUUUGUUCUUACACACACUGCAGAUAUUCACUGUUUAAUAAAAACAGAAAAUGAAGAAAAUUACAAAAAGUAAAGCAAAAAUCACUGACGGCUUUCAUUCAGAUAACUAGUUUUAACUUGUUUGUAAGCAUCCUUCCAUCUCUGGACAUACAUAAGUGAUGUCAAAUUGUGUAUCCGAGUUUACAUAUAUAGGAUCAUAUUGUGUGUAAUAUAUUUUCAUACCAUAAUCUAGUAUGAAUAUUUUCAUGGUAUUAAAUACAUUUUUGAAAAGCUACAUAGAACUCUAUUGGAUACUUAUACAUUUAGGCUGACGGAUGUUUAAGUUGUCUUCAAUUUUUUGCUGCUGUAAAUAAGACUUCAAUAAGAAACCUCUAGCAUAUGUAUUGGCAGAUUUGUGCAAAUGCGUCUUUAAGAAAAAUGAUCAGAUGUGGAGUUUCUAGGACAAAAGGAUUGCCUAUUUAAAUUUUUGAUACAUAUUAUCUAACUGUCCUCCAGAAGAGCUUCAUUAGUUACUUUCAAAACAAUGCAGGAUCAAAUUCAAUUACUUUUAUAACACCAAGUUGAUGGUUGCAAAUACCAAGUUCCAUCGACCUUUUCAUCUUUGUUAAGUUGAUGUGUAAAAACGAUAUUUAAUUGCUAUUUGUUAGUUUCUUUGAUUAAUAGUAAAAUUUUUAGUUCUUUUGUCAAUUAGGUUAUGUUGCCGUUGGUCAUCUAUUUUUCUAUUAUUGAUUUUAAAGAGCAUAUUUUUUAAAUAUAUAUGAAAGAUAGUCAAUUUUGUCCACCAUGUUUAGUUCAAAUAUUUUCCUGAAUUUUUGUUUGUCUUUUGACUUUGUAUAUAGUGUUUUUUAACUGUACAAAAUUUGUAAUCAAUAUAGUCAAAAUUUUAUGUAGUCAGUUUUAUAUUUCUGUUUAGAAAAAUACUCAGUCCUAAUAAUUUUAUGAUUUUACUUUUUGCAUUUAAAUUGCAUGAUCCAUAAGAGACUACUCUUUGUAUGAGGAAGAGAUAGGAAUCAAGAGGGUUUUUUUUUUUUUAAUUUAAAUGGCUAAAUAACUGUCCUAAGAUCCUAGUGGGAAAAAAAUCAUUUGCUCAGUUAUUUAAAACACCCUCUCAUUAUACACAAAAUUUUCAUGUAUCCAUGGUCGUCUUUUUACAGUCUCCCUACAGUUCAGUUGGCAUCUCUCUUCCUACAGCAGUAACGUCAGCUUUAAUUAAUGUAGCUUUAUAUGUUUUGAUCUAGUGAAGAAAGAACCUUUCAUUAUAUUUAAAGAACAUUUCUAGAUCUUCUUCUAAUGUAUUCUUUCAGAUGAACUGUAGAAGAAUUUAGGCAAAUUCCGAAAAAUUUCCUGGACUUUAAUUGAAUGAAUAAAUGAAUUAACUUUUUGCCCUCUGUAGUGGUUUGUGAUGUGCCAGCUUGGGUAGGCCAAACUACCUUUCCCAGAAUUCCCUUUCCUGUAUGUUUCCUGUUAGAGUGGGUCACGAGAGAGCUUCUUGGAUGAGAUUUGGAGGGUGGAGGUGAAGAAGCAGUCAUUUUGUAGCUUACACACUAUCACUAAUCUGCCGACUCAUUUUGUUGGUGUGAGGCAGCAGCUGGACCCGCAACUGUUUCACCUUCUCCCGGAUCCUUCUUCAGCUUCUCUGACUCCUGGGCCAGGUGGUGUGACUCCUGGGCCAUGGCCAAGGUCCUUAGCUUCUGCAGGAUACCACAACAUCGAGAUCGGAGAUGGACAGGACUAGGGUGCAGAAAGAAAAGUACCUAUGACACCGAAAUUAAGGGAGCACUCACUCUCAGAUUCGUGCAAGUGCCAUCCCAUAAUUGCACAAACCUGAGGGCGCAUGCCUACUUAAAUUUGCAUGCCAGGAGCCUCACUUACCUCACCCUAGUUCUAGCACAAUAUGUUGCAAUAAGAACUGACCCAGGUUUUGGUUAGUCCCCGUGGACUCCUGAUAUUUUUUGUGAGUUCCAGCCUGCUUUUAUUCUAUCCCACCUUAUAUUCAUGCUUCAGCAUCAGACACAAAGAUGAUAGCUUUGCAGAGACCGUUGAGUUCCCACAGUUGCAUGAUGUCAGAUAGCUAUAACAAAUGCCUUCACUUACCCC